Molecule: ribosomal RNA, 305 nt
Filed under: uncultured bacterium
Lineage: Bacteria
Description: bacterial SSU rRNA
Rfam family: Bacterial small subunit ribosomal RNA
Source: RNAcentral
CGCCUACGGGACGCAGCAGUGGGGGAUAUUGCACAAUGGGGGAAACCCUGAUGCAGCGACGCCGCGUGGGUGAAGAAGUAUUUCGGUAUGUAAAGCCCUAUCAGCAGGGAAGAAAGAAGACGGUACCUGACUAAGAAGCCCCGGCUAACUACGUGCCAGCAGCCGCGGUAAUACGUAGGGGGCAAGCGUUAUCCGGAUUUACUGGGUGUAAAGGGGGCGCAGACGGCGAUGCAAGCCAGGAGUGAAAGCCCGGGGCCCAACCUCGGGACUGCUCUUGGAACUGCGUGGCUGGAGUGCAGGAGGGG